RNAcentral lists this ribosomal RNA (465 nucleotides) under uncultured bacterium. RNAcentral describes it as "partial 16S ribosomal RNA". It matches the Rfam family "Bacterial small subunit ribosomal RNA", at positions 338 to 795 of the family's 1533-position model. The record is from RNAcentral.
CCUACGGGGGGCAGCAGUAGGGAAUCUUCCACAAUGGGCGAAAGCCUGAUGGAGCAACGCCGCGUGGGUGAAGAAGGUCUUCGGAUCGUAAAACCCUGUUGUUAGAGAAGCAAGUGCGUGAGAGUAACUGUUCACGUUUCGACGGUAUCUACCCAGAAAGCCCCGGCUAACUACGUGCCAGCAGCCGCGGUAAUACGUAGGUGGCAAGCGUUAUCCGGAUUUAUUGGGCGUAAAGGGAACGCAGGCGGUCUUUUAAGUCUGAUGUGAAAGCCUUCGGCUUAACCGGAGUAGUGCAUUGGAAACUGGGAGACUGGAGUGCAGAAGAGGAGAGUGGAACUCCAGGUGUAGCGGUGAAAUGCGUAGAUAUAUGGAAGAACACCAGUGGCGAAAGCGGCUCUCUGGUCUGUAACUGACGCUGAGGUUCGAAAGCGUGGGUAGCAAACAGGAUUAGAUACCCUAGUAGUC